AUGGCCAGAAGAGCUGUGGUGCACAGUGAGCCGGUGAGGUUCAGCAAUCAAGACACCCAACAACACCGAGUGAGCUUUAACUGCGCUCCACCACUCCAUCUUGAGCUGAAACAGAGAGCUGUCUUCUCCGUUGGGGUUGGACGAUUCGCUGCAUUUGUGCCGCCGCCAUGGCCCCGCGCAGCGGCGAGUGAGGCUAAGCUCGUGCAAGGCCCAUCCAUGCCCGGCGGCGAAGACCGGAUCAGCGCUCUGCCGGACGGCGUUCUCCAGCACGUCCUUGGCUUCCUGCCGGCGCAUGACGCCGUCCAGACGAGCGUGCUCGCCGGUCGCUGGCGCCACGCGUGGAGAUCCAUCCGUCGCCUGCACCUCAGCCCCGAGGACUGGUGGGACAGAGGCAGCCCCGAACAUCUGAAGAAUUUCUUCGACGCUCUGCUAUCCCCCGGCGGCCAUGACUCGAUUCUGGAGGAGGCCCAGCUGGACUUCGAUGGAUUGGUCGAAGAUUGCGCGCACGCCGAAGUCUGGAUCCGACGAAUUUUGUCGGGCCAAGCUCAGGUGCUCGAUGUCUCCUUCGCCACACUGGAAAACCCUCCUCUGGUCUCCCGACACCUGAGAAAACUGGAGCUCACUGAAAUGAUUUUAGAAGGAGAUGUUCUUGAUUUCGCGAGCUGCCCAGCAUUGGAGGAUCUUAAGAUGGCAGAUUGCAGAUUAUAUCUUGACAAGAUCUCGUCCUAUAUAUCAAUCCCUAGUCUCCUUUGGCUGCUCCUUGAUUCUUGUAUAGUUCCUUUUCUUGGAAGCAUGCCUUCACUGGAAACAGCAUUUGUGAAGCCUGCAGCAUGCUCGAGAGAUUGCUGCAUAAGAGGUGCUUUUAAGGAAUGCUGUGGCAUUUGUGCAGAAUGUACUGGUGAUGGUGACCAUGGCAGCCGCUGCGUGCUUCUCGGAGGUCUGGCCAGUGCUAUACAUUUGGAACUGGUAGCUGAACCUGGAAUGCUUAUAUUUGGAAGGGAUUUGAGGUGGUGUCCUACAUUUAGUAACUUGAAGACAUUGUUGCUGAAUGAGUGGUGUGUGGCUAUUGACUUCCGUGCAUUACUUUGCAUUCUCGAGCAUUCACCCGUUCUUGAGAAGCUCAUUCUUCGACUAUCUAAGAGACGGGAGUUUAUUACUGUGCUGAGCUAUCCAAUGGAAAAAUUACCUGCAAUAUCCAAACAUCUUAAUAUUGUGGAAAUCAGAUGCAGAGAUGUUGAUGGGAGGGUUUGCAGGAUUUUAAAGUUGUUGAGUCGUUUUGGCAGUGCCAUGCAGAUUAGCAUCAAACUGGUUUCGCAACUAUCCACAUGCUUUAGUUUCGAGACAUGGCUUUGGCACUUUCCAGCCAAUGAUGAUGAUGAAUGCAAUAUAAUUGUGCAAGGCUAA
This 1404-nucleotide ribosomal RNA is filed under the name Triticum aestivum (bread wheat). RNAcentral describes it as "partial small subunit ribosomal RNA". Lineage: Eukaryota; Viridiplantae; Streptophyta; Magnoliopsida; Poales; Poaceae. The record is from RNAcentral.